This is an RNA transcript of Labeo rohita (rohu), 1267 nucleotides long. It is a transcript of the gene named gastrula zinc finger protein XlCGF8.2DB-like, with no coding region annotated. The transcript is spliced from 3 exons. NCBI's taxonomy places the organism in Eukaryota, Metazoa, Chordata, Actinopteri, Cypriniformes, Cyprinidae. The record is from RefSeq and is a predicted model, not a curated record.
ACAUACGUUUGUUUGCCAAACACCAUUAAACAUCAGGGGAAGAAGAUUAGUUUCACCGCGCUCUCUCUUGUGUUGUGAAGCUGGCUUAAUACAAACGUUGUGACUAAGUUUUGAAGCAAGCAGGAAUAUCUGGAGGAGAAUCAGCUGAACUGAGAUCUGCUGCUGUGAAGAUGGUGUUUGUUAAAGAGGAGAGUGAGGAGAACAUGUGUGAACCACCAACCUUGGGAAUAAAACAGGAACCAGAAAUCGUGGAAAUAAAACACGAAGAACCAGAAGCCUGGAGAAUAAAACACGAGGAACAAGGAAGUUGGUCUGAUGAAAGUGAAAGAAGAACAACAUGAUCUGAAUGAGGUGGAAGAGAAAUAUCAGGAUCAGAAAUAUGAUGAAAAAUCAGUGAGUUGCAGUGUUCAAAAAACAGACGUCAAAAUGCCUUUCAGCUGCUCUCAGUGUGGAAAGAGAUUCACACGUAAGGAAAACCUUAAGAAUCACAUGUUAAUUCAUACUGGAGUAAAGCCUUUUACCUGCUCUCAUUGUGGAAAGGGUUUCACACAGAAAGUACACCUUAAGGAUCAUUUGGUAACUCACACUUCAGAAAAGCCUUUCAGCUGCUCUCUCUGUGGAAACGGUUUUGCACGUAAAACACACCUGAAGAACCACAUGUUAAUUCAUAAUGGAGUAAAGCCUUACAGCUGCUCUCAUUGUGGAAAGAGUUUUACACAGAAAGGAAACCUUAAUGAUCAUGUGGCUACUCACUCUUCAGAAAGGCCUUUCGUCUGCUCUCAGUGUGGAAAGUCUUUCAUAUGUAAAAGGUACCUUAACACUCACAUGUUAAUUCAUGCUGAAAAAAAGCCUUACAGCUGCUCUGAGUGUGGAAGGACUUUUGCACAGAAAGGACACCUUGAGUAUCAUUUGUCAACUUUUACCUGCUCUCACUGUGGAAAGAGUUUCAUAUGUAAAGGAAUCAUGAAGAAGCAUGUGUUAAGUCAUGCUGGGCAACAGCCUUUGAGCUGCUCAACAUAAUCAGCUGUUAAUAUUUUGUUGGUCCUCUCUUGUUUUUGCAUGUUUCUUUGUAUGACAGCAUGGCCAUAAAUUGACCGCACAGUUUCGCGUUUUUUCAUUGCAUUAUUAUCAGAAAUAAAACGACUGACUCCAAGCAAAUAUGCAAUAUGCUUACAAAAUCAGUAACACAUUUUUUUUUCCUCUUGGCCACAACUACAUGGCAGUUCAUUGACUUUCCAACCAGCGUUUCCAAGUCGGUGGGAACUGG